CACUCGGUGCCGAAUUCAGUUUCGGAAAGCGGAGUGGCUUCAGAUUGAGGU
Non-coding RNA from Necropsobacter rosorum, 51 nucleotides. NCBI's taxonomy places the organism in Bacteria, Pseudomonadati, Pseudomonadota, Gammaproteobacteria, Pasteurellales, Pasteurellaceae. The record is from Rfam.